GGAUCGUAAACUUCUAUCAACAGGGACGAAGAAAGUGACGGUACCUGAAUAAGAAGCCCCGGCUAACUACGUGCCAGCAGCCGCGGUAAUACGUAGGGGGCAAGCGUUAUCCGGAAUUACUGGGUGUAAAGGGAGCGUAGGCGGCACGCCAAGCCAGAUGUGAAAGCCCGAGGCUUAACCUCGCGGAUUGCAUUUGGAACUGGCGAGCUAGAGUACAGGAGAGGAAAGCGGAAUUCCUAGUGUAGCGGUGAAAUGCGUAGAUAUUAGGAAGAACACCAGUGGCGAAGGCGGCUUUCUGGACUGAAACUGACGCUGAGGCUCGAAAGCGUGGGGAGCAAACAGGAUUAGAUACCCUGGUAGUCCACGCCGUAAA
Molecule: ribosomal RNA, 373 nt
Filed under: uncultured bacterium
Lineage: Bacteria
Description: bacterial SSU rRNA
Rfam family: Bacterial small subunit ribosomal RNA
Source: RNAcentral